CCUUGAUGAUACUCACUCAAUUUGUGUCCAUUCGGUUGUUGUAGAAGGCUUACUUAUGAUCAUCCAUAUAUAUAUAUCGUAGCUGUUUAAUUCCUUCAAAGAACAACCUACCAGCUCUUUAAAUAUGUGCUACUUGCUGUGCAUUUUAAUUACAAAAUGAUUUUCGAAAAGUCAAAAGGUAAACAUAUUCAAAAAUCCAAAGUGUAACAUCGAU
Molecule: long non-coding RNA, 214 nt
Filed under: Mytilus galloprovincialis (Mediterranean mussel)
Lineage: Eukaryota; Metazoa; Mollusca; Bivalvia; Mytilida; Mytilidae
Source: RNAcentral